Long non-coding RNA from Numida meleagris (helmeted guineafowl), 902 nucleotides. RefSeq lists it as uncharacterized. The transcript is spliced from 2 exons. The record is from RefSeq and is a predicted model, not a curated record. NCBI's taxonomy places the organism in Eukaryota, Metazoa, Chordata, Aves, Galliformes, Numididae.
AGGACUGGCUGCCAGGAGGGAAGGAUCUUUGCUUGAGGACUCUCUUUUUUGGAGUAUUUGGCAAGCUCUUAUCUUUGGGACAGGCUCUGUGUUUCACGUUGCAUUUCUCCAUCGUGGGCACCAGUUGAGCUACAAGAGGUGGUGGUGGGCAGGCACGGAGCAUGGGGACCUCCUGGUCCCAGCAGCCAAGAGAAGGAUGAGCAGCACGGGACGAGGAAGAGGAGAAGUUCUCAAGAUUUCCUGAUGCUAGGACUUAGCUUUGCUUUCAGUGGCUUGCAGUAAGGUGGAAGUGAAGCCUGGCCGCAAGGUGAGAUGCUGAGAAUGAGGUAGAUGUUCCCAAAGCCCCAAAUGAAGAAGGUUAGCAUUUGUCAGCUUUCAGCCAGGUUGCUCUGAGUCCAUCCUACAGCCUACCAAAUCCUUUCUCCCCUGCCUAGCACGUGGUUUUGCUGCUGCUGGUCCAUGCCCUCCCCACCACCCUGUCCUUCUCCAUAAGCAUCCGUGAGCCGUGUCAAAUCCUGCGGUGUCAGCGCUGGACCUGGAGGAUGUGAUGGAAAAAGCCCGGAGCUUAAAACCAUUCUGUUUCCAUCUCCUCCUCCCUCUGUGACACUCUGCAGGUGAGAAACAUGCUGUCCUCAGCCAAACGCCUGCUCUCACGCCUUAUUUGAACAGUUUCCUAAACAUCUCUCUGCAAAGUCCUGUAAUGAAAGGAGUGGUUUCCCUUGGCUCCCUUCCCAGACCUACCCCAACAGAAGGAUGCUGACCUAAGGCUGUUAAACACUUUGAUGUAUGGCCGCGUCUCCUUAAGUAGAAGAUCCAUAUUCUUAAGCUAAGCUGCCAUGACACGGGGACAUUAUGAACUCUCUGAACCAACUGAAUCCUACAAAUGAGCCAUUAGUUGGCAG